RNAcentral lists this ribosomal RNA (834 nucleotides) under uncultured bacterium. RNAcentral's name for it is "bacterial SSU rRNA". It matches the Rfam family "Bacterial small subunit ribosomal RNA", at positions 75 to 914 of the family's 1533-position model. The record is from RNAcentral.
UAUCUUCGGAUAGAGAGACCGGCGCACGGGUGCGUAACGCGUAUGCAAUCUACCUUUUACGGAGGGAUAGCCCAGAGAAAUUUGGAUUAGUACCUCAUAGUAUGUGAGAAUGGCAUCAUUUUCACAUUAAAGUCACAACGGUAAAAGAUGAGCAUGCGUCCCAUUAGCUAGUUGGUAAGGUAACGGCUUACCAAGGCUACGAUGGGUAGGGGUCCUGAGAGGGAGAUCCCCCACACUGGUACUGAGACACGGACCAGACUCCUACGGGAGGCAGCAGUGAGGAAUAUUGGACAAUGGGCGCAAGCCUGAUCCAGCCAUGCCGCGUGCAGGAUGACGGUCCUAUGGAUUGUAAACUGCUUUUGCACAGGAAGAAACAACUCUACGUGUAGAGUCUUGACGGUACUGUGAGAAUAAGGAUCGGCUAACUCCGUGCCAGCAGCCGCGGUAAUACGGAGGAUCCAAGCGUUAUCCGGAAUCAUUGGGUUUAAAGGGUCCGUAGGCGGUUUAGUAAGUCAGUGGUGAAAGCCCAUCGCUCAACGGUGGAACGGCCAUUGAUACUGCUAGACUUGAAUUAUUAGGAAGUAACUAGAAUAUGUAGUGUAGCGGUGAAAUGCUUAGAGAUUACAUGGAAUACCAAUUGCGAAGGCAGGUUACUACUAAUGGAUUGACGCUGAUGGACGAAAGCGUGGGUAGCGAACAGGAUUAGAUACCCUGGUAGUCCACGCCGUAAACGAUGGAUACUAGCUGUUGGGAGCGAUCUCAGUGGCUAAGCGAAAGUGAUAAGUAUCCCACCUGGGGAGUACGUUCGCAAGAAUGAAACUCAAAGGAAUUGAC